This 253-nucleotide ribosomal RNA is filed under the name uncultured bacterium. RNAcentral's name for it is "partial 16S ribosomal RNA". It matches the Rfam family "Bacterial small subunit ribosomal RNA", at positions 524 to 776 of the family's 1533-position model. The record is from RNAcentral.
UACGAAGGGUGCAAGCGUUGUUCGGAAUUACUGGGCGUAAAGGGCGCGUAGGCGGUCGGAUUAGUUGGGAGUGAAAUCCCGGGGCUCAACCCCGGAAUUGCUUUUGAAACGGUCCGACUAGAGUGUGAUAGGGGAUGAUGGAACACCCAGUGUAGAGGUGAAAUUCGUAGAUAUUGGGUAGAACACCGGAGGCGAAGGCGAUUGUCUGGAUCACAACUGACGCUGAGGCGCGAAAGCGUGGGGAUCAAACAGG